RNAcentral lists this ribosomal RNA (537 nucleotides) under uncultured bacterium. RNAcentral describes it as "partial 16S ribosomal RNA". It matches the Rfam family "Bacterial small subunit ribosomal RNA", at positions 355 to 886 of the family's 1533-position model. The record is from RNAcentral.
UGGGGAAUUUUGGACAAUGGGCGAAAGCCUGAUCCAGCAAUGCCGCGUGUGUGAAGAAGGCCUUCGGGUUGUAAAGCACUUUUGUCCGGAAAGAAAUCCUUGGCUCUAAUACAGUCGGGGGAUGACGGUACCGGAAGAAUAAGCACCGGCUAACUACGUGCCAGCAGCCGCGGUAAUACGUAGGGUGCAAGCGUUAAUCGGAAUUACUGGGCGUAAAGCGUGCGCAGGCGGUUUGCUAAGACCGAUGCGAAAUCCCCGGGCUCAACCUGGGAACUGCAUUGGUGACUGGCAGGCUAGAGUAUGGCAGAGGGGGGUAGAAUUCCACGUGUAGCAGUGAAAUGCGUAGAGAUGUGGAGGAAUACCGAUGGCGAAGGCAGCCCCCUGGGCCAAUACUGACGCUCAUGCACGAAAGCGUGGGGAGCAACAGGAUUAGAUACCCUGGUAGUCCACGCCCUAAACGAUGUCAACUAGUUGUUGGGGAUUCAUUUCCUUAGUAACGUAGCUAACGCGUGAAGUUGACCGCCUGGGGAGUACGGU